This 25336-nucleotide long non-coding RNA is filed under the name Populus trichocarpa (black cottonwood). RNAcentral's name for it is "long non-coding RNA (PTRI_LNC000437)". Lineage: Eukaryota; Viridiplantae; Streptophyta; Magnoliopsida; Malpighiales; Salicaceae. The record is from RNAcentral.
AAGUACGUCCUUUAUAUUUCUCCAAUAAUUUUUUUCCUUUUUAAUCUAAAUUGUCAACUUCAAUACAUGUUGAUUUCUUCCUUUAAAUUUCUGAAACUGAAGUAAUUGAUAAGUGGAGAUGAAUCCUUUAGCCAUCCACUAAAUUGAAAAGGAGUUGUCUAAUUGUAUCAUUCCUUGUCUCUUGAUAGAGGGCUUGAGAAGUAAGAAAUUAAUUAUUGUAAUGAAAUCCUACCUAGAUUUUUCAAUCUUUAUAUAUGCUUUCCCAGUUUGAGUGAAAUUGAGGCUCUUCCCCCAAUUAAUGGAAGUAUUUGAAGAGGAAGAUAAACCUCCAUCUGCUAAUAUUGAGUUGAUUGUUUCAGUCCUGCAGCUUAUGAUUUCAUAUUCCCAUGCCUACUUCUAUCCUUUUGUUGAUAAGUUUUUUUGCUGAAGUUUAUAUGGACAAUUCGUUCAUCUAUUUACCAAAAUUAUAUAGUUCAAAAGUGCACAAAAUUUCUUUUGAAGCAGGGGUUCACAAAUUUGAAAGAAUUACGCUUGCACCAUCUGCCUGACACGAGGUGUGUAUGGAAGGGUCUGAGCAAAUUGACUACUUUGAAGGUAAUCUAUCUGGAUAAAAAUUAGACAAGUUUGUCCACUAAAACAACUUUGCACGUAAUAAAAAAUGUUUUUUAUACAAAAGUACAUCAAAUAACUUCACAAAAAAAUUAUUAACAUAUAAGAGCAUAAAUUUUGUGUUGAAAAUUAUUAUUACAAUAUCUUUAAAAAUUUAUUAACUUUAUAACUAAAAUAAAAAUAUUAGUUACUAUUUUUAUUUUUAUUUUUUACAUGAAACUAAUUAUUAGGAGUUGUAGUAACCAUUUUUCGCAAAAAUCUAAUUAAUAUUUAACUUAUCUCUAAUUAAGAAAAAAACUAAAACAAUAAUAUGUAAUCUCUAAAAAGUAUUUAAUCCUGUUUUUUUCUAUUUUUUUCUCCUAUUUAUACAUCAUAUAAAUUGUUUUUAUGAGAGUGAAAAAAUAUAAUAUUGUUCUCUGAUAAGAUGGCCGCCAUGGGCAGCAAAACGGCUUCUUACAAAGAUUAAAAUUUGUACGAGUGGACGAUUGUGGGGAUGUUCGCACUCCGUUUCCAGCAAAAUUGCUGCGAGCUUUGAACAAUCUAAAGAAGGUGAUUGUUGACAGCUGUAAAUCAUUGGAAGAGGUAUUUGAAUUAGGUGAGCCUGAUGAAGGAAGCAGUGAGGAGAAGGAGCUACCGCUUCUGUCAUCUUUAACAGAGUUACGGCUGUCAUGUUUACCUGAGCUCAAAUGUAUAUGGAAGGGGCCAUCUAGACAUGUCAGCCUUCAAAGUCUUAAUCGUCUGAAUUUGGAGUCUCUCAACAAACUGACAUUUAUCUUCACACCGUCCCUCGCUCGAAGUCUGCCAAAGCUAGAAAGACUUUACAUAAGUAAAUGCGGUCAAUUGAAGCAUAUUAUCAGAGAAGAGAAUGGUGAAAAGGAAAUAAUUCCAGAGUCUCCUGGGCAGGAUGAUCAAGCUUCACCUAUCAAUGUUGAGAAGGAGAUAGUGCUUCCUAAUCUAAAGGAGUUGUCGCUAGAACAAUUAUCAAGUAUUGUCUGUUUUAGUUUCGGAUGGUGUGAUUAUUUCUUAUUCCCUCGUUUGGAGAAGUUGAAGGUCCAUCAAUGUCCAAGGCUGACCACAAAAUUUGCUACUACACCAGAUGGUUCAAUGAGUGCUCAAUCAGAGGUGCUGCUGAUUUGACUUGAUUUCUUGCCUCUCUUUUAGUGUGUUUGUUUCUUGUUUGGCUCAAUAAUAAGAUUUACAAGUUAAAAUGAGCAUGCCAUGCUUGAAUUGGUUUACAGGUAUCUGAAGUAGCUGAAUAUUCAAGCUUUAAAAGAGAGUGGACCAGAAAUAAUGGGUGGAAAGAAGUAGAAGAAGAAGAAGAAGAAGAAGAAGAUGAUGAUGAUGUUGGGUCAGAAGAGGAAGAGGAAGAGGAGGAAGAAGAAGAAGAUGAUGAUGAUGAUUGCUAGUCUAAUAAUUCUUUCUUGCCCAAACCAGGUGAUAUAGCUGCAAUUAUUUAUCCUCUCCUUUACCCUUAAAUUUUAAUGGUUGAAUUAAAUCAUGGAUUGUCUUUUUUCUUCAUGUUUGCAUCAGGCAAGGUUGGUUAGCUGUUACAUGAUUUCAAGGUUGGUGCUGCGAAUAUGUUUUAGAUUUGGUGGGAAUUAAUUCCAACUGUUCCAUUGGCAAUGGGAUACAAAUUGGCUUCACAUUGCUGAAGAAGUUAGAAGAAUUGUUGACAGCACAGGAGUAAUGUCAUGUUGUGUAUUUAGUCAUUACUGUGCGAACCUCAAAAAAACAAUGUUGCUUGCGCAUUAUCGUACAAGCCUCCAGAAGUAAGGGCGCAUGUUUGCUUGCCCAUUUGUGUUUCUUUUGGUUUAAUGUGUGGACUUUCAUGCGUUCUCCUUUCUACGACUUGAGUAUUUUCUGCAUCAGCAUGUUUUCUCUGCAGUUUGAUGUUCUGUUUCUAAUGCAUAAUGCAUUUUUAAAAAUGUUAUUGUAUGAGCAUGUGAAUAUAUUUGGGCAUUCAAAUCUCCAGAUGACUGAGACUUGAUGCUGAACUCUUUGUUCAAAAGUUUGAUACUGAUAUCAUGUUUUCCUAGCAGAGCAAUCUUAUGUUGAAUGGUUUUUUCGAGCAGAUACUUUUAAUCUUAAAGGUCACUUUUCUCCUUCUUCUUUUUAAUCUUAAAGCUCACUUUUUCUUACCAAGAUGAAAAUAAAGUUUAUUCAUAUAAAAUAUAAAAAAAACAUAUAGAUAUUAAAAAAAAUCAUUAAAAUCAACCAUUUUUAUGGUAAAAAUUAGUGCCAACUGAGACUGUAAAACCCCGGGUAAUAUUAUUGAUAUUAAUAAAAGUCAAGAUUACAAAAAAUAAGAAAAAGUGAUAAAUUAAAUUAUAAGAAUGAUGAUAUAUUCGAGAAUCUGAAUUGGAAUGUUUUGUUCAGGUGUUAAAAUAUAUGUAAAAAAUAAAUAUAAAUAAAUAAACAUGAAAAUGUGAAUAAAAUUUUUAUGAAAAUGAAUUUCAUGAAACUGAAAAUACUAACGAGUAACUGAGUGAAAUUUGAAAUAACCUGGAUAAAAUUUGGUAUAAACAGGCAUUAGGAUUCAAGAAAUUUUACCCAAAAAUCAUAAAAUUUACUAUUAAGGAAUAUAGAAGGUAUUUUUAAAAAGUUAAGUAAUUAUAUGUGUGUAGGGGGAAAGAAAAAAUUGAGGGAUGUGGAAGGUAUUAAAAAAAAAGAGUUAUAUAUACGAGUGCAAGUGAGUGUGUGCUAUAAGGAAACAAAAAAAAAAACUUGCUUUUUCAAAGAGAAGGAAGCAUUCGGUCAGGAGAGGAAAAACAAAUUCAAGCAAGGAAAAUUUUUCAAUUUAAAAGUGUUAAAGCUUUGGUUAUUGCUUGGUAAGAUGUCCUCACACUUUUAAAUAAGAUUCUCGAAGAAUUUAUGCUUUAAAUUGAUUGAACUUUGUGAAAUGAGGAAUUAGGGUUCAUGAUAAAUUUUAGAGAAAAUUACAAUUGAUUGUGAAAUUGUGUUAAGAUUAUUGAAGUGAGUAGGGAAAGUAAGAAAUUAUGGUAAUUAAAGCAAAAUUUUAGGUGUUCUUGAAGAAGGGAUUUUUGGAAAAAUAAUAAUAAUAAAAAUAAAAAUUUAAGAGUUUUGAUAGGAUGAUGAGAUUGUGUAAGAAAGAGAUGAUAUUAAUGUUAAAGAGUGAAUAGAUCAUAAAAUUUUUUUAUGUUUUUCUUUGAUUUAAAUUACGGUAAAAAUUAAAUAAAUAAAUUUAAAGAAUAUAUAUAUUGAUUUGAAUGAUGAAAUGAAUUGUGUUACAAUGUGGAAAUUGAAAGAAUAGGAAGGAAAUUUACAAAAUGAUUUUAUUUUGGCAAAUAAAAGGAUAAUUGGAAUGAUUUUAUUUAUUGAGUGUUUCAAUAUGGAAAGUAGAAUAAUGAUGUGAUAUACUUGUCAAUUCAAGAAAGGCUGCCAGGCCGACACUACAGCAGGAAAUUUCAGCUCGAGUUUAGUCAUCAGGUAAUUACACGGUACGUGAAUUUAUUAUUGGUCAAUAUGUAUUUUUAUUUGAUUAAUUAUGGUUGAUAAAUAUGAAAUUAUUAUAUUGUUUACUUUAGAAAAUAAGAUAUGCGAUGUGAUGAAUUAAUUCUUGAACUAAUGGGAUUAAUGCCUUGGUGAAUGGGCGUGAUAAGGAAUUAAUUCUCUAGUUAAUGGGAUUAGAACCCUGGUGAAUAGGCAAAUCGUUGAACUAAUUCCUGAAUUAAUGGGAUUAAUGUCCUGGUGAAUGGGCAUGAUGAGGAAUUAAGUCUUUAGUUAAUGAGAUUAGUACCCUGGUGAAUGGGUAAAUCGUUGAACUAAUUCCUGAUUUAAUGGAAUUAGUGCCCUGGCAAAUGGGCGAGAUGAAGAAUUAAUUUCUCUGGCUAAUGGGAUUUGUACCUGAUGAAUGGAUGAAACGUUAAACUAAUUUUUGGAUUGAUGACAAUAGUGUUUGUUGAAUAGACUGGUGGAAAAUCAAUCAUCUAUUAGUGAAAGUAAUGUCGGGUUAAUUGAGUGAUAGGAAUAAUUAUAUUUUUGGUUGAUAUUAAAAAAGAAAAAAGAAAAAGAAAAAGAAAACAAACUCAUAGAUUAUCCAUGUAAAGCCAUUGAUAAUAACCCUUUAAAAAGGUUUUAAGUAUGAACACAUGAAAAAAAUAGGUGAUUACCAUUUGACACAAAAAUCAAUGAUUUCGGUGGCCAAAAACUUUUUCAACAACUUUUUCUCUUUAAAUUGAAAUCUGACGAUCAUCUCUUUUUUCUCCACCUAAAAAAAACUUAAAAAAGAGAAAAAUAAAGUUUGGUAUCAAGAUGCAAUGUUGGAAAAUUAUAGGGACUGGUUACUUAAUAGCUUAAAAAGAAUGUGUUAGUGAUUGUUUUUUAAAAUAUAUUUUUUUUCAAAAAUGUAUUAAAAUAAUAUGAAAAUAAAAAAAAUAAAAAAAUCUAAUUUGUUUCAAAAAUACUUUUAAAAAAAAUAAAGCAAAAACAAAGGCUCUAUUUCACUUGAUACUUUUACCCUUUGGCACUCGGCACUUGCCGUGUAAUAAUCUCUUCUUUCUACAAGGCUGGCCCCUACGUGACCUUACUUUCUUCCUUCUUUGUCCCAUUCCUUUCUUUUUCCUUCUUGCCCUUGCCGUGAUUUCAGCCCCUUCUUUUCUCUCCUUAUAUUCUAACAACUACUCUAUUAUCCUCUUUUUCAUACUAAUUCUCAAAUUUUCUACAAUACUGGCCCCUACGUGACCUUAUUUUCUUUCUUUUUUUGUCCCAUUCCUUUCUUUCUCUUUCUUUUCUCUCCUUACUUAGCGAGAUGGUCAUCAUAAACAAUUACUUUUUAUUGCUUGAGUUUGAUCCUUUUUGUGUUUGUUCCAGUAAUUCUACUUGUUUGUAAGUCUUUCCCCUUGAGUUAUAAUUCUGAAGAAUUAAAUAAAUUUAUUUUAUUUAAAUUAUAUAAAAAAAUAAAGCUUGAUUUUUCAUUUAAAAACUUGCUUUUAACUUAUUUUUUAUCUAAAAUAUUUAUAAAACACUCUAUAAACCUUAUUAAACCAAUACAGUUAAGAAAACAAAGAGUCUCUCUCCCUGUUUCUGUCCUAUAUUUAUGUGCUUUGAUUUGAACAACUACUCUAUUAUCCUCUUUAUUCAUACUAAUUUUUAAAUUAGCUUUUAAAAAAAUUAAUUUGAAAUAAAAAUAAAAUAAAAUUUAAUUUUUUAAAAAAAUACUUUAGAAUAAAUAAGAACAAACACGUUAUUUCUCUCCUUAUUCGCUGCUGUCAUUUCAGGUCCUCAUUUCCUGCAUUAUUUGGAAGAGUAUGAAAAAAAAAUAAAAAUAUCAAAUAUUAGUUUCGCAAGCCCCAUCCUGUUCGCAAUCCAAUAUUACAAAGAAGUGGAAAGUAAAAGGAAGGAAAUGAUUAUGUUCAUGUCUCUUUUACUUUCGAAACAAUGAAUUAAAGCAAAAGCAUUAGUAGGACAACUUAAGUUUUUCAUCUAAGGAUAAAACUCAAGCAAUUAAAAGUAAUUUUCUAUGAUGAUCAUCUCUGUGUCACACACUCGGGUAAUAUGAUUGACCUAUUACAAUAUUUUUUAAAAACAAAAUACUAAAAGAACUAUGUUUUUGGUGGCAACCAUUGUGCGGUUACAUUUUUCAUCCCUCUUUUUUGGUUUUAUUUUAUUUCAGUCCUUCAAGUCUUUUUCUUUCGCUAUUUCAUCGAGUUUCUUUGCUCUUGAGUUGUUGUGCUUGCCCUCGAAUAUGCAUUAUGCUAGGAAUUACAAUUACAUUACAAAAAAAUUAUGGGUCGAUUGUUAUGAGUAAUGAGUUAUUUAGUUGAUUUUGAAAGAUUUUAGAUAAAAAUGAUGAUUUUAAGUUAUGGUUUAUUUAAAUGGUUAAUUUAAGUUAGAAAUCUUGAUAUAUCAGUAGGUUAUCUGUGUAAAUUCUGGGUUUGAGGUUGAAGUUUCAGCUUGGUCCCUCAAUUUGUGAGAAUUAUAGUUUAGUCCUUGAACUUUAGAAAAAUUAGAGAUUGGUUCCUGGAGCAUAAUCCGAGAUUCUGGACAAAAUUAAAGAUGAAUUAUGGGCAGAAUUCCAGUAUAGUUAUGAAUUUAUGACAUUUUCACUUUGAUCCUCCAAUUUGAUGAAAUUACAAUUUGACCCUAGAAAUUUGAUAAAAUUCCAGAGUGGUCCCUGGAGCAUAAUUUGAGAUUCUGGGCAGAAUUGAGGAUGAAUUAUGGGCAGAAUUCCAGUAUAGUCAUGAAUUUAUGAUAUUUUUAGUUUGGUCUUCUAAUUUGAUAAAAUUAUAAUUUGACCCCUAAAAAUAUGAUAAAAUUCCAGUUGGUCCCUAGCCUUAAUAUUAGCUUUUUUAGAUUGGUUUGAUGAAUAAUUGAUGGUUAUUUAGUGAAUUAUUAUCAAGUCUUAUUAUUUGUUUUAUUGUGAAUUAGAUUUCUGGAAAACCGUUUACUUUUUUGGUUUUUGAAAAAAAUAACUAGUUUAGUUAAAAAAUAUAUAGGGUUAUGAAAUAGAUCCUUAGUUAAGUAUAUUAAAUAGGUUAAAUAGGUUGAAUGUUCUUUUCAGAUUGGUGGAAGUAAUUCCAAGCAGAUACCUUGUUGGCUAAUGCUAGAGAAUCCAAGAGGGUGUUCAUUAAAGAGAGAACAGGCUGAGAAUCUUUUUUUCACGUUGCUGUAUAGCAUGUGAAGCUGUUUUCAUUGGCUAAGAGUAGCCCCACCCUCCUGUUAGAUAGCUUCUUUCUAAGCAGCUUAUUAUGAAACUCACUGAAAUUGGUAAUAUGAGAAUAGAAACCCUCAAGAAAGUAUAAAAUGAGGAGCAUGGAUUUGUUUGGAAAAUGUUAAGGAAUUGACAAUGGAAUCUACUUUUAUUAGACUAUGUGUGAAAUAUUCAGUUUUUCGUAAUGUUGUUUUGCAAUAGAAUCAGUUGUUUAUAGAAAUCCCAAUGAGCAACCCACUAAUAUGCAGUCCGAGAGACUUUGUCUUGAGUUUCGAAGUAGAAUUUCUUCAACUUUCAUUAUAGAAAAUAUGAUAAAAUCAAAAUAGCAAAACAAGAAGAAAGAACAGCAGCAUAGAAGGGAUGCAGUGCAGGUUCCUAUUAUAGAUUUUUCAAUCACAGAAAAAAAGGUUGCAAUGAUGGAAGACGUGAACCAUUAGGCUUACAAGAGAAUUAUUUAAACAAGUAAAGCAAUCAGCUGAACCCUAUAAGAUCUGCUACAAUUAAUCUUCAGAUUUGAAGUUAACGUAACGUCAUCUUCCUUAAUUUCUGAUAGGAUUUUGACAGCUUUUCAUUAGGAACUGAUAAGUCUUCAUGUUGAUUUGUAGGACUUGCAGGUUUAUGGUUUUAUAAAGGAAAAAUCAAAGUCAAUGUUUAUAAAGGAAUGAACGUUCUUACUUUCAUUAUAUAUGGGAGUCGGAUUAAAAAAAAAACACAAUAAUGCCCGCCCGCCACUCUCCAUGUCUUUGUUUUCUAAUUUAUUUAUUUUACAUUUUAUAUCAUCAAAAACUUUUUUUUUUUGUUAAGAAAAAUACAUGAAUCAGAUUACACAAUUUUGAUGAAAUAUAUAUUUUUCCUCUUGUAGUCUUUUCUAUGAAUUUAUUGCAUAAUUAAAUAAAAAAAACAUAUUACAGAAAGUUAGAUUAUAAAAAGUACUGGGACAACGGUGCGCAUCUACACUAGUUUCUAUGUUAGAUUGCUUGGAUCUAAUAGUUUGGCUAGCUUUCACAAUCAUAAUUUCUUAAGAAAAUAUGAUAAAAUCAAAAUAGCAAAACAAGAAGAAAGAACAACAGCAUUAAUCAGCUGUUUAUUACAUUUUUAUUGUUGUGUUUUAAUGAUAUGAUUUUACAAUGGUAGGAGUGCUUAGUCUGUGUGAACAGCAGAACAAAGGCUGCCCACUUCCUCGAACUUCUUUGUUUCUUUCCCUUCUUUUUCUUUUUCUUUUUCUUUUUCUUUUUCUUUCUUUUCUUAGAGGGGAAAGAGGGUUGUGCUGCUCGUUUCAUUUCAUUUUUCUUGGAAACCAUACAGAAAAUUCUUGGAUCUGUUCAUUGUUUUCUAGCUAAUAGUCUUUUUCUCUCAUUUACUCGGUUUCUUUGGGUGCGGACUAGUUCUUUUGGUCAAGUAAUAAUCUCUUCUUUUGUUCUAUUGAAAUUCUUGACGUUUUGGUCGGGAAUAAGUUUAGCUCCUUUCGCUGGCUUGUCUAGAAAAUUAAGGGAAAGUAACAGAUGAAGUAUUUAAUCAUUUACCUAAUUAUAUUUAAUAAAUUUAUAUAUUAAAAUCAAUUUAUAAUAAAAAUCAAUACACAUAUAAUUUUUUUUAAUAUCAUAAAAGAAAAAAAAAACUAUACAAGGCUACACAUAUUUAAAAUAUUAUAAAAAUUAAAUAUUUAAUCUAUCUUAAAUAUACAAAAAAUAUUUACAAAUGAAUCAUACUAACCUCUUAAAAAAUUAAACACAUCUAACAAAAUUAAAAAUAAUUGAAGAAAGAUUACAUAAGGCCAAAAAAAAUCAUAGAAAAUGAAUAUUAAUGAAAACAUCAUUUUUAAAAUUAUUUUCAAAUAUAUAUAUAAAAAUGUAUCAAUAAAAAAAAUUCAAAAUGCAAUGUUGGAAAAUUAUAGGGACUUAUUAUUUAAUAACUUAAAAAGAUGGGGAACUAAAAUGAACUUUGCAAACAAAUUAUAGAGUUGUCAUCUAUUUUAAUUGAGUUUUUAACUUAACUAGUCCCCUGUCUUUUAAUUCAACUCUUAUUUUUAAAAAAAUAUGCAAUUGAAUUCUAAUUUUAAUUAAAAAGGAUCAAUUGUGGAAAAAAAAAUUCAAGUAUAAAAUUGAAAAUUUUUAAAAAAUACACCAUUUUUAUCCACAAUUAAAUGACUCUAAGUAAGUACUAAUGAACAUAAAACCCCAUUUGUUUUUUAAUUUAUAAUAUAAUUUGGUACUGUGACAUAUACUUUUAAAAAUAUUUUUUAUUUAAAAAUAUAUUAAAAUAAUUUUUUAUACACAUAUUUUUUAAAUUAUAUAAAAUACUAAGAAUAUAUUAAUUUAAUAUUUGUAUAAAUUAAAUAUAAUUAUAAAAAACCACUAUGAUUUGGACAACCACUCUAUCAUCCUCUUUUUCAUACUAAUUUUCAUCUCCUAUUUUCUACAAGACUGGCCCCCCUACGUGACCUCACUUUCUUCCUUUGUCCCAUUCACUUUCUUCCUUUGUCCUCUUCCUUUCUUUCUCCUUUUAUCAUGCCGUGAUUUUAAGGUUUUUGAAGUAGUUUUUUUAAAAUAUUUUUUAAUUAAAAUUAUAUUAAAAAAUUAUUUUUUAUUUUAAAAAAAUUAUUUUUAAUAUUAAUAUAAAAAUAAAAAUUAUAUAUUUUUUAAAUACUUUAAAAAAUCAAAAACAAACACGCUAUUUCUCUCUUUAUUCAUUAUCGUGAUUUCAGGUCCUCCUCUCCUUCCUUAUUUGCAAGAGCAUGAAAGAUUUUAAAAAAUCAAACGAGCAUGGCUAUUAAAAACUAAAACCCAAAAUAUAAAUAAAGAAAAAAAUACUAUCAUAGUCCACAGUAAAUUUGUGUUUGAAUGAGUAAUAAUUUCAUUAAUUUUUUAAUUUUUUUAUUAUUAUAUUAUUAAAGUGUCCAAAGAAAUUCCAAAUAAAAGACCAAAAAAAAAAGAGUAUUUUUAUCAUAUAUUUUUUUCUUACUCUCCUCCGAUCUGUCUAUUUAUCCCAACCGUGUCUUUCCUUUUCUCUUUUUUUAAAGCCUUUUUAACCUUUCUCUCUCCCACUUUCUAUCCUUUCCUAGUGGGUACAUAAAGUUGAACACGUGGCGAACAUCUAUUAGCUUUUGAGAUUAUCUUUAUCUCCAUGUCACAAUAAAAGGUUAAACAUGUGGAGAUAAGGUUGAACAUGUGGCGAUCAUCUAUUGGUUUCUUGGAUUACCUGGUCCUUUUCUCAUAAACAUAGUUCUUUUAGCCUUUCUUCAAUACUGGCCCCUACGUGACCUUACUUUCUUCCUUCUUUGUCGCAUCCUUUUCUUUCUCUUUUGAUCAUGCCGUGAUUUUAGGGGUUUUUUUGGUUCUUUCUUCUUUAUCCCAUUCCUUUCUUUCUUCUUUUAUCAUGAUGUGAUUUUAAGAUUUUUAUUUUAAGUGUUUGAAUAAGAAGUUAUUUUUAAAAAUAUUUUUUUAUUUAAGAAUAUAUUAAAAUAAUAUUUUUUUUAUUUUUAAAAAUUAUUUUUAAUAUCAAUAUAAAAAUACAAAAUAUUAAUUUAGAAUAAAAAAAUUAUUUUUUAAAAAUAAUACUUUAAAAAAUAAAAAACAAACACCCUAUUUCUCUCCUUAUUUACUAUCGUGAUUUCAGAUCCUCUUUUCGUGCCUUAUUUGCAAGAACAUGAAAAAAAAUUAAAAAACAAAUCAAACGAACAUAGCUAUUAAAAACUAAAACUCAAAAUAUAGAGAAAAGUAUUAUUUCAGAAAAAUAAUAUUUUUUAUGUAGAUGUUUUUUAAAAUAUUUUUAUAUCUUAAAAUAUAUUAAAAUAAUAUUUUUUUUAUUUUUAAAAAAUUAUUUUUAAUAUCAAUAUAAAAAUACAAAAAAUUAAUUUAGAAUACAAAAAAUUAUUUUUUAAAAAUAAUAUUUAAAAAAGUAAAAAACAAACUCUGGUUGUUUUUGUGUUUUAAAAAUACUUUUAAACAAAAUUAAAUUUUUUUUUUCUUCAAACAACAUUUCAGAAAAAUAAACAUAAAAUAUUUGAAAUACGUACUUUCCAUAAAGUCUUAAAUAAUCCCUUGGAUCUCGACUUUAUGAGCAACAAUUUAAAGGUUGAAGCUUUGUUUUGGUGAAAACAUUUGAAGAAAAGUGAAACGCGAAGAAUGGUUGGAAGCUAAUAGUGGCAAGAGAGAGAGAGAGAGAGGAAUUGGCUCCAAAUGAGGCUUUUAUGGCAUGAUGGCCAAAGGAUGGCCAUUGCUAUUCAAGACAUAUUGGGGGUUAGCUGAAGGCGGGGAUUCUAUUGGUCAACGUAUUCUCAAUGUAGUAAAAUUAAAUGUUUCACUAUAAAUGACAAUAUUGAUACUUUAAAUGAAUAAAUAAUUUCACAUCGUUAAAAGAUGUUUUUACCUUGUUAUUUGUUCAAAAAUGGCAUGCCCAAGUUCCGGCGAACACCAAGCCAUCCAAUUGCGGUGUCAAAUAACAACCACUAUUUGAUUCAUGAACCCACUUGAACGUAGAUUGCGUGACAUUAUUUCAACUUAAAAAAAUACACCCAUUAGUACCAAAUUUCCAACAUGUAAAAGAAAUGUUAAACCCGUGAUGAAGUUGGUGUUGGGUUUGUCGAAUAGCAUACACGUAACCAAAACAAUAAAAUAAAAUUAUUUAAGAGUCUCUAGAAUCUCGUUAAACAGAUCUAGAGUUAUUUAGACAUUUAUUAUCUAAAGAUUUGAUCAUCUUCGGUUUUGAAUAUAUUUUUAAAGGUUGGGUUAUCACAAACUAGAAGUCGUCUAAUUGUCCGACCUUCAAUGGUAAUCCACACAAAUCACUAGUGAAAAAUCUCCUAAAUUCCUAUUUAGGAGAAAGGGAUUAUUAUGCCUAGAGUAUUAUCUAUUUAUUUUGUGACAUACUUAGUUUUCUUGUUUAAUAGACAACUCCUAAAAAAUAAAAGGCAUAACUUACUAUUUAUAAGGAAAUCUGAAAAACUCUAUAAAUUGAUAAAAUAUCAAUUUUUCCCUUGAAUAAUAUCCAUAUAUUAAUUUAAGAUCAUUUUAUAAAUUAACUCAAUCAAGUCCUUACUUGAUUUUUCUAGGUCUGGAAAUAUAAUCCCUAUAUUAAUUAUAUUAUAGUCCUUAAUUUCUAAAAUAUAUUUUAAUCAAGUUAUACUUAAUUAAAUAAUCACAGUUUAAUUCUUAAUAUGUAUGACCUAUUAGGUUCCUAAUAUAUUGGUCCAAAUAUAAAUUAUAAUUAAAUAAAUUAGAAUUGAAGAUUUGAAUAUCAUGUGCAUUGUUUAGUAACGUGUCAUGAUCCCCUAAAUAUUAGAAAAUUCAUUAAUGGUUUCAAUUACCGGUUUCUCAUUGUAAUUAAUACCAUUUUAUCACUAAUGUUCUUAUUUAACAUUAAAGCAUGAAACAUGUUUGCCAUGUUAAAUCAUGUUCAUUCUCUGCAUAAUAGUAAUUGAUCAUUUGAAUAAGAUUUGAAACCCUUUUUAAAUCUCAUUCCACCUUACCCAAGGAUUUCUCAGUCAAUACUAUUUGAGAACAGAUGGAACAUUUUUUCUAAUUCAUAUAGGGUGAUGAAAUCCUCUUUUGAUCACUCAAGUACCUUCAUAUAGUUCAUGAUAUACCCAAUGUCUAUCAUUUUGUUACCUCAAUUAAGAUAACAUGUAACAGGAUCAAAGCAUAACAUUCUCUAUAUAAGAUAACUUAGUAAUCUCAAGUCUAAGUAUUACAUAUACAACCGUCACGUGAGUCUUUCCAUAGACAUAGGUAAUCUCUCCAUAUGGAAUUCUCAUGCUGGUCAAUUCAGUGUACAUGUCUUAUGACAAGCGCAUACAUAUUAGUUUUGGGUAUUCCUUAUAGCUCAACUUAUGAGAAUAGUUGCUUCAUUUCAUAAAGAAAAAAACAUAAUAUGUAUCAGUCUUUAUGGCUCUAAUAAAUAUCCAGUAUUUAAGAGAGCAUCAACCAAGAACAUUUUAUGAACAAUACUUUGAUGCAUUAAAAAUCUCAUAAUUAUAACAACUUUAUAAUUUUCUUUGCAAAGCAUUUUUAUCUCAUAAACUUUAUCUAUACUCUAGAUUCAUUACUAUAAUAUUAUAUGAAUAUUAAAGUUAAAUUAAGCCUUUAUUAAUAAUAAAUAUGUAUUUACAUGAAUAUAAUAAUACCUUGUGUAACUAACUGAUUGGCUAUAAGACAUAUUAAACUAACAGUUGGUAACCAUUCUAUACCUAUGGUAUAAUCUUUUAUCAAAAAUUGAAAUUAACUAUAGAUUUACUGCUUGUCGCACGUAUGCGGCAUCACAACGAACAUGGAGAAAAGAGUAUAGAAAAAAAGGAUAAAUGUCAAAUGUUCAACCCGAAUCAUGGAGAAAAGACCAGAACACGUUAACUCAGUUGGUCAAUUAUUCAUUUUCUUUCCCUUCCUUUAUUCUAUCUUCGCUUAGCCUUUUUUGGGCUUGGGUCGAAUAAAAUUUGAUAUUAAAUUGAAGAUAAUAAGGGGCUAAAUUGAAAGAAGAGGGCUUUCCUCAAGUGAGAUAAGCUUUGGGGUCUAAUUGAAGAGUUGGUGUCAAAUUAGAGAUUAAAUUGAAAAGAUGAAAUGAGAUUUAUAACUUAAUUGAAGAGUUAUUAUCGAAUAUGUCAUAGCCUGACCAAACCUACCAGAUAUUGUCUUUUUGGGACCUUAUCGCCCUCACGGAUUUGUUCUUGGUGACCAUGCAUGAACCCAAAACGUAUCUGACAAAUCAGCAACCAACACUACUAAUAAGAUCAGCUAUCAAAUCUUUACUCGCCGAUGUGAAAUAUUAUAAAAUAAAGGAGAACGAAAUGUUGGUGCGUGUAAAGCACAUGUCAGCAUAGGAGAAAGGCUAUCGAAUUCGAGCUACAUAUAUGCGGUCCCUACUCCUUUUAAAGGUUGUCGAUGUCAUUCUGUUUGAUUUGAAAUAAGUAGUAUAUAUUGUAUCAUUUAAAAAAAAAAAGAAUAAAGUGAGACAAAUUUCAUUGCACUUAAAAUCUGGCUCAUUCUUUAUGCUCCAGAUUUUUUUUAAUAAACUUAUAAUUGGUGCCGUUUUGAGUUAGGGAUAACUUUCCAUAAUUCUCAAAAACAGGGAGCCAUGCGCUGAUCUUCAUCUCUCUUUAAUUUCCCGUUACCCAUUUCCCCCUUCCCAUCUUCCUUCCAUCGAAUCCAAUUCAUAAAUAAUUUGGGUUGCUUUUGUGGCAAUUUCAAUGAUUUACACAGCUAUCGAUAACUUUUUUGGCUGUUAAUAUCGUAGUAUUCUCUAAAAAGCCAAUGUCAUGGCAUUUCCAUGCUUUCUAAAGAAAGAAUUUAUUUAUUUAUUAAGCAAUUCAUUUAGUUUUUUCAAUAUUUAAUUUAAUUUAUAUUCUUAAUAAUAAUUUUAAUUCAAACAACAAGACAACAGAACACCAAAUAAUUUAUUGAUUUUACUCAUAACACAGCACAAUUAUUUAUUAUUAAAUAUAUAAUUUGAUAUGGUUAAUCUCACAACAAAACACAAAUCAAACUCUUAUUCUUAAACUUGCAUUAAAUAUUGCUACUUAGAAUUUAUUAAUUUGUAUUAUACACGUACAUAUAUUAUCUUUGAAGGCUUGUAUGACCUUUAUCUUAGAUAUCAUUUCAUUUUUUAUUCUUUAUUUUUAAUAAAAAAAUUCUUUCAAUCAAUUUAUUAAAAAAAUAUUUAAGUGAUUGUUCAAAUCAUUACAGUUUUUUUGGAUACUUUUCCUGGUUGUUAUUACUUUUUAUAUCAUCAAAAACUUUUUUUAAAAAAAAAAUACAUGAAUCAGACUAGAGAAUUUUGAUGAAAUAUAUAUUUUUUGUCUAUAAUUUUAUUUUGAGUGUUUUCUAUAAAUAUAUUGCAUAAUUAAAUAAAAAAUAUAUUAAAAAAGUUAGAUUAUAAAAGUAACUCGGGACAAUAUUGUUGAGCGCACCUAUACUAGUUUUUCUGUUUGUUUUUGUGUUUCAAAAAUUUUUUUGAAAAUUUUUUCUUUUUUUCUUUACUUCAAAUUAAUAUUUGUUUGGAUUUUUUAAAUCAUUUUGAUAUAUUGAUGUUAAAAAUAAUUUUUAAGAAAUAAAAAUAUAUUAUUUUGAUGCAUUUCCGAGUGAAAAACACUUUGAAAAACAACGACAGCCAUACUCUCAAAUAACCUCUUCGAUUGCUUGGAACUAAUGGUUUGGCUAGCUUUCACAAUCAUAAUUGUUUUUUAAAAUACAAUAAAAUCAAAAUAGCAAAACAAGAAGAAAGAACAACAGCAUUAAUUAGCUGCUCAAUACAUUAAUUAGCGGCGUAUUACAUUUUUAUUAUUGUAUUUUAAAUAUAUGAUUUUACAAUGGUAGGAGUUCUUAGUCUGCAUGAACAGCAGAACACCACAUGAACAGCAGAAGAAAGGCUGCCCACUUCCUGGAACUUCCUUGCUGCUGACUUUGGUGAUUUGUUCACACUACCAAUAUUUUUGCCGAGUUUCUCUGUUUCUCAAUUCAACCUAUUUCCUUAAAAAAAACAUAUGCAAUUAAGCUUAAAAAAAUUCAAUUAUGCAAAAAAAUUAAGUUAAAAUACUAGAUCGAAAACUUUCAAAAACUUUAUUAUUAAUAUCUACAUGUCAAGUGAAUAGUAAUGACCAUAAAACUCCUUUUUAUUUUAAUUUAUACUAUAAUUUUGUAUUGUGACACAUACUUUUUAAAAAUAUUUUUUAUUUAAAAAUUUAUUAAAUAUUAUAUAUAUAUAUAUAUAAUAACAAGAAAUAUUAAAAAAUAUAUUAAUUUAAUAUUUUUAAAUGAAAUAUAAUUAUAAAAAGCACUCAGACACAGUAAAAAAAAAAAAACAGCCUCCCUCCCUUGUCCUCUAUUUAUACGUGUUUUGAUUCUGACAACUACUCUAUUAUCCUCUUCUUUCAUGCUACUUUUCAAACUUUCUACAGGACUGGCCCUACGUACUCAUAGACAAUUACUUUUAAUUGCUUGAGUUUGAUCCUUUGUUGUGUUCGUUCCAUUAAUUCUACUUCUUUGCAAGUCUUUUCCCUUGUUGGAAGCGAGCUGUUAUCAUCCAUGAAGGCGUCUAAGUGAUUAUCCUCAACCUUUCAUUCGUUUCUUUCUUUGCUAGGUGAGUUCUUUUACACAUUAUUUUUCUUCAUUUCUUUGUCACUGUCUCUAUAUUACUACGCAUAGUAUCUUAAGUAUGUCAUCAAAAUGCUUAUACCUUGCCUUGUUGCUUUUGAAGCUGGAUUCCAUACAGAGCUAAAGGCCUUCUCCAUUUCAUUGAGCAAUCAGUACCAGUUCUGUAUCCUUCUCACAUAUUUUCUCAAGUUUAGGUAAUGAAAUUCCUAUUCCCAUUCUCUCUGCGCCUCUUUUACUUGCAAUGACUCACUCUCACGUUCUGUAUCCUUAUUUCUCUGAUUUUCGCACAUAAUUAGCUGCUUAUUACUUUUUUAUUGUUGUGUUUUAAUUAUAUGAUUUUACGGAAGGUAGGAGUUACCGCGUUCCUAAAAAAUUUUAAUUUUAUUUUAUUAAAAUUUAAUACGGUUGGUAUGUUUUGGAUCUGAUGUUAAAAUUAAUUUUUAAAAAUUAAAAAAAUAUUAUUAAUAUUUAUUUUAAUAUAAAAAAUUAUUUCAAAAAUAACUAAUAUCACAUUACCGAUCACACUCUUAGUAUACGUGAACAGCAGAACACCGCAUGAACAUCAGAAAAAAGGCUGCCCACUUCCUCGAACUUCUUUGGGUUUUUUUUUUUAACACUAAAAGAGGAGCCAAGUUUGACUUUUUUUUGUUUCUUUCCUUUCUUUUUCUUUGUUUUCUUGGAGGAGAAAGAGGGUUGUGCUGCUCAUUUCGUUUCAUUUUCUUGGAAACCAUACAGAAAAUUCUUGGAUCUGUUGAUUGUUUUCUAGCUAUUAGUCUUUUUCUCUCAUUCACUCGGUUUCUUUGGGUGCUGACUAGUUGUUUUUAGUCAAGUAAUGAUCUCUUCUUUUGUUCCACUGAAAUUCUUGACGUUUUGGUCGGGAAUAAGUUUAGCUCCUUUUACUUGUCUAGAAAAUUAAGGGAAAGUAACAGAGAGAAUUUAGAACCCUUUAAGAUUUUUGCCACUAUGGUUUAGUCCUUCACUUUCCCGGAGUUAUGAGGUUCGGUUAAAUGGAGAAAGGGUUGUUUCUGGUUUUGAGAUUGAGAGAUGGGGUCUUGAAAAGUGGCAUGGCUGGUGGUUGUUUAGGCUAUCGUUGUGUGGGCGCGCGGUCUAGAAAGGGUUCUUCUCUCCUUUUCAAUUCUUUUCGCUAAUGUCCCCUUGAGAGACCAUACCUACCUAUAGUAAGAUCACAUACAUAACUCCUUAGAUAAAUUAUAUGUGGUUGGAAUCGAUCGAUAGAUCAAAGGUGUUGUCAAGUGUGUGAGUGUCGACCAAGUGAUCGAUCUUUAGUGAGUAAUUCGUUCACUUGUAAUUGCUUGAGUUUGAUCUUUAGUGAGUUCGUUCCAGUAACUCUACUUCUUUGCAAGUUCUUUGUUGAUCCUUUUUUUUUUAAACUAAAAAAAUUAAUCGAUCAUUAAUUAUAUUUAUUGUUGGAAGCGAGCUGGUAUCAUCCAUGAAGGCGUCUAAGUGAUUAUCCUACACCUUUCACUCGUUUGUCUCUGCUAGGUGAGUACUUUUACACAUUAUUAUUUUUUUAAAUUUGAUUGUCACUGUCUCUAAAUGAUCUUAAUUAUGUCAUCAAAAUGCAAUAUUUUGAAUGGGAAUUACUGCUUUAACUCACAAGUGUCAGUUAGUAAACUAUUUUUGUUGGUGUACUUUAUACCUUGUCUUGUUGCUUUUGAAGCAUAAUUUAAUUGUUUGCAUGGCUUUAUUUAUGUUAUAGGUCAAUCAUAUUACCUGAAUGUGUGAUUCAGAGAUGGUCAUCAUAGACAAUUAUUUUUAAUUGCUUGAGUUUGAUUCUUUGUUGAGUUUCUUUCAGUAAUUCUACUUUUUUACAAGUCUUCUCUCUUCUUGAUUUGUUUUUUUUUAUAAAAAAAACUUUGACCAAUUUGGUAAAAAACCUAGUUGUAACCUAAAAUCUGUCUUCAACCCAUUUUAACCCAAAACACCUAGAAAACAUUUAAGGAACCUUGUUUAAUUAAUACAUAAUAAUUUGACACAAAAAUCAACUGUUUUGGUGGUCAAAAUCCUCAACAACUUUCUCUCUCUAAAACGAAAUAUGGUGAUCCUCUCUCUCUCUUACACAAAAAAAAAAACUAAAAACAAAGGAAAAUAAAGUUUGGUAUCAAAAUACAAUGACAAAAAAUUAUAGGGACUAAAAUGAACUUUGCAAACAAAUUGCAAAGCCACAACUUAUUUUAGUCGAGUUUUUCACUUCGGUCCUAUGUCUUUCAAUUCAGCCCUCAUCCUUGAAAAAAUAUGCAAUUAAGCUCUAAUUUGGAUUUAAAAGAGCUCAAUUGUGAAAAAAAAAUAAUUGAGUAUGAAAUUGGAAAUUUUCCAAAAAUUCACUAUUAAUAUCCAUAGUAAAAUGAAUAUAAGUGAAUAGUGAUGAAGAGAAAACUCCUUUCUCUUUUAAUUUAUACUAUAAUUUGGUAUUGUGGCACAUUCUUUAGCCACAAUUAGUCUUUUACUCUCAAAUCUCUAACAGGACUAUUAUUUCUAGGUUUUUUAGUGACCUUGAACUAAACAACUAGAUGACGACUUCAAAUGACCCUCAUGUCUGGCGUUUAUGUACGAUAGCGACAAUACAUAAAAGAUAACACGAGAAUCAUCGUCACAAAAUAAAAACAUUUACAAACAUUUUAAUGAAUUGUUUUAAAUCACUAUAAUUUUAAAUUCAACUACAUAAAAUAUUAUUGAUUUGAUGAAAUUUGUUUUGGUUAAGUUUUUAGUGAUUUGAUUUGAUAAAAAUUAGCUAAAUUAAUAUCAAGAAAAAAAAAACAAAACAUUAUCAUUUUAAUAAAAAUAAUUAAUUUAAAUUGAUCUACAUAAUUACAAGUUGACCUCGGCCCUGGUGACCUGUAAGUUGAUAAUCUUUUCUAAAUUAGCCCUUUUGUAAGGUCUAACAAUUACAAUAGGAAGGAAACAUUUUAUUCACCAAUGUCGUUUCCCUUAUUUUAAAUAAAAAAUGAAUUCAUUAAAAAUUAAUUAUCGAUUGAUAGCGAAGCCUGUAAAGGUUAGCCUGAUAUAUAGUUAAGGAUACACACCCUUGAAUUGAUUUUGUACAUGAAGCCAUUAGACUAGACCAUGCACCUAAAAAUUGAAGGAAUCUCAAAUUUUAUUGGUACUUAGGUAUCACAUACAGAAAUAUAGUAAAUAAAAAUAAAUAAAUAGUAAAUAGUAGUAAAUAGAAAUGAAUUAAUAAAUAGUGGGUUCCAUAGUUUCUAACGGCAAGGUCCUCUCUAUACACCAGAGCCCCUGACCGAAUCAAUGCUAUUGUUAACAUUUUGGCUCUACCCAUGAAUUUCCUAGUAGUUUACAGUAACAGUACUAUUUAAUUAUGCAGAUUAGCUGACCUUUUGAGUCCAUUCUUGCAAGAGUAGAUGCGUUCAUUUUUGGCUUUUUAAUUUAAAAAAGACUUGUCAUGCUUAACAUUUAUUAUUUGCUAUCAAUUGGGAAUUCUUUAGCAUUUUCAAUUGAAAAUUGAGAAUUGAGAUAGCUGAAUUUGCACAUAUAUCAUUGUUUUAAACCUGGUCUGGUCUCAUGGGUUAAUCCGGACCCAAUAGAUCCAAAGUUGGAAUCAAACCAGGUUUAAAAAAUAAGAAAAGUAAAAAAGCCGAGUGACCUGGUAAUCCGGUUGACUUGGAAAGAACCGAUAAAAAAUUUGGUUGUAACCUGUUGACUAUAUUUUUAAUAAAAAAAGAUAUUAUUUUGAUUUAUAUAAAAAAAAUGAAGUUAACUCAUAUGACCUGAUCAAAACUUGUGACUCGAAUUUCUUGAACCUGGUCGACCACCAAACCGAAUUUAAAAUCUCUUAGGGUUAAAAAUCAUAAAUUUGAUACACAAUAGAAAAAUAAUCUAGAUUUAUUAUUUUAUUUCAAUUGUGUUUUUUUUUCCCUGAAUGCUGUGUUUUUCAUUACGAUAUUUUAAAAAAUAUAAAAUUUACCACGCUAAUUUGAAAGAGAAAAUAAAAAAGAAAUGCAAGUGUUUUCAACUUUUGCGGGUCCGCUAAGCGUCCUUUUUCUUUUCCUAUUCUGGACUUCCUAGUGGGUGCAGACUGCUAAGAUACAAUUUUGUAAAGUGAGAAGCUUGGCUAAGGCAACUAUCUCUUCUUCAUGGGUGUCUGCUUUAAGGAAAAUUCUCGACCUUUUUUUUUUUGUAAAAAGAAAGUUAUUCUCUAGCAUUCUGUUCCUGUGUAAUAUGGACACAUCAGUCGUAGAAUCUUUGUGAAAACUGUUUAUAUUGCCUAACCAACUAGAAUUAUUACUGAAGAUCUCAUUAAAUAAAUUUAUAGUUAGGCCCCGUUUCUUUUUGGAAAGUAGUUUCUUUUUGGAAAGUGAAUUCCGGGAAAGUGAAUUCCGAUGUUUGGUAGUGUAAUGGAAAAUAAGUUGGAAAACACUUUCCAGUGUUUGGUUAUGUUAUGGAAAAUGAGCUGGAAAAUAACUUAUUAAUGUUUUAUUUUUUCAAGUUUAUUAAAAUAAUAAGGAACAAAUCUUACAAAUUAAAAAGUUGAAUGAGAAUGAAAUUGAAAAAAAAUAUAAUUUCAUAAAUUAUCUCAAAUAAAAUAAAUAAUAAUCAAAAUAAUAGAGAUCAAAUCUAAAAAAUUAAAAAAAAUAAAAGGUGAAGAAAUUAAAAUAAUAAUAAUAAACAUUUCAUAAAUUAUUUCAAAUAAAAUAAGUAAAAAUCAAAAGAAUGAGGAUCAAAUUUGAUAGAUAAAAAAUUUCAAUAAAAAAAUGAUAAGGAAAAAGCAAAUAGCAAUUAUAAAAAUAAGGACCAAAAUUAAUAUAAAAAUUAAAUUUUAAGAGAUGAAAUUGAAAAAUAAAUAUUCAAAACAAAUUAUAUAUAGCAGUCAAAAGUUUGAGGAUCAAAUUUGAUAUAAUCAGCAAAUAAUGACAUUUCUAAAUUUUUCACAACUUCCGGAAAGUGUUUUCCGCCCAAAUUUUUCAGGAAAACACUUUCCUGAAAACCAAGCCAAAUUUUUCUUUGACUGGAAAGUGUUUCCGUUGACCAACUUUUCCAAUGGCAAACAAACAUAGGAAAGUUUGGAAAGUGGUUUCCCGGAAACCACUUUCCGGAAAACAAACACAGCCAAAAAGGAAAACACUUUCCUAGAAAUCAAACCAAAUUUUUCGUUGACUGGAAAGUGUUUUCUGUUGACCAGAAAGUGUUUUCCGUUGACCGGAAAGUGUUUUCCGUUGACCAACUUUUCUAAUGGCAAACAAACACAGGAAAGUUUGGAAAGUGGUUUCCCGGAAAAUGAAUUCCGAGAAACAAACAUGGCCUUAAAGAUUUAUUAAUUAAAAAUCUAUUUUUUUUUAAAUGACUUUUUAAAGAUUAAAUUAUCGUAAAUUACUCCACACAAACCACCGAUAAAAAAAUAUUCUAAAAUAAUCUUAACUUUCAGCCUUGCAUCCAACAUUAGCUAGAACGGAGACUCGAAUCUUUCGAUAUCUUCAUCAACAAACUGAUCUUGCAGGACCACCAUACCAUGGUGUAUCUUGUACCACCAUAUCAAAAGAUGAGACAUUGCUUCUUUUUGUUGUCUUUUAAAAAGUCUAAUGCUCCACUAAUUUCCUCACCCAAUUUGGCAUAAGAUUUUAAAAAGAAAGGAAAAGAAAAACUGCCAUUUUUUUUAUGUAUAAAUAGGAGAAAAAAAAUAGAAAAAACAGGAUUCUUAUGAUUAUGCUUAUGUCUCUUUUACUUUUUGAAACAAUGAAAGCAAAAGCAUUAGUAGGACACAGUAAGUUUGUCAUCUAAUUUCUCACCAUAACCUUCACAUUUCAUCUCUCAGCCGUUUCUUUUCACACAAACUAUCUCCGGACCCGUUGUUGAUUUUGGAUCAUUUCCCAAUUGAGGACGGAAGACUACGGGGAUUGAAGCUGUGAUUUGGGAUCGGUUCAGGAUCUUCUGCUGAUAGGUUUAUUCUGCAGACUUCAAGAGGUAAGAACCUGCUCUUAUAUCAUGCAAAGAAAAAGAUAAAAUCAGAAUAGCAAGACAAGAAGAGAGAACAUGAGCUAAAGCUGCAUAAAUUAGCUGCUUAAUAAAAAGAAUACAAUUGUAUGAUUUUACAAUUGUAUUCAUAGGAGAUCUUAGCCUACAUGAACAGCAUAACACCACAUGCACAAGCCUUUUUAUUUGAAAGUAACAGCACUCUGGAUGCCAUCAAAAACCUAGUUCUUUUAUUAUUAUUAUUAUUAUUAUUAUUAUUAAUUUGUAUAAUGUAAUAGGUCAAUAAUAUUACUUCUGUGUGUGACACAAAAAUGCUUCUCAUAGACAAUUACUUUGAGUUUGAUCCUUUGUUGAGUUCGUUCCAGUAAUUCUACUUCUUUGCAAGUCUUUUCCCUUGUUGAUCUGUUUUUUAAAAAAAAAGAAAAGAAAAGAAAACUGAAAAAAACUGACCGAUCAUAGCGUAGGUUAAUAAUAUUUGUUGUAGGAAGCGAGCUGGUAUCAUCCAGGGAGGCGUCUAAGUGAUUAUCCUGAACCUUUCAUUCAUUUCUUUAUUUCUCUAUCACUGUCUCUAUAUUAUCUUAAUUAUGUCAUCAAGAAGCAUUUUUAAUGGGAAUUACUACUUCAACUCACAAGUGUCAGUUUGAACCUUGCCUUGUUGCUUUUGAAGCUGGAUUCCAUACAGAGCUACAGGCCUUCUCCUUUUCUUCCUCCCGCUAUUUCAUUGAUUGCCAGAGCUUUUCGCACAUAUUUUCCCAAAUUAAGAUAAUAAAAUUCCUUUUCUCAUUCUCUCUAUGCCUCUACUACGACUCACUCUCACGUUUGGUAUCCUUAUUUCUCUGAUUCCAGACUGGUGGAAAAUGGCUAUCGAAAGUGUGGGUGGAUCCAUUAUAUCUAAGAUUUUGAUGCUCAAUUAAAAUUACAGCUUUUUAGGUCCAAGGAAUUUUGAUGCUCAAUUGCCUUUGCAAGAACUAAACAUUGAAGGCCACGAAGAAGUGGGUAAUUGGUUGGCACAGCUACAAGUACGUAAUUUAUAUUUCUCCACUAAUUUAAAUUGUCAAUUGCGAUAAUUUAUUCUUUCUUCCUCCCAAUUUCUAAAAGUAAAGUAAUUGAUAAAUGCUUAUUUUUAUUUUUUUAUGAUUUGUUUUUUUAUCUAAACAUAUAUAAAUAUAAGAAACUUAACUGCCUCAUUGUUGUUUGCGUUAUUAAAAAUUAAUCAUAUGGAAGAACAUAUUAUCUGUUAGAUUUAACUGCCUCAUUUGAAAUAUAUUAUCUGUUAGAUUUAACUGCCUCAUGGUUUACGUAAUUUUUAUUAUCUGUUAGAUUUAUUCUUUCUUCGUCACUGCUUAUUUUUUUGUUUUAUCUAAACAUAUAUAAAUAUAAGAAACUUAAUACCAACAAUUAAUCAUAGAAAUCAUAUUAGCUUAUUUUGUGUUCAAAUAUUUAAUUCAAUUAAAAUAUCUUUAAAAAUUUAUUAACUUUAUAACUAAAAUAAAAAUAUUAGUUACUAUUUUUAUUUUUAUUUUUUACAUGAAACUAAUUAUUAGGAGUUGUAGUAACCUUUUUUCGCAAAAAUCUAAUUAUUAUUUAACUUAUCUCUCAUUUAGAAAAAAACUGAAACAACAUUAUGUAAUCUCUAAAAAGUAUGUAAUCCUGUUUUUUCAUUUUUUUCUCUUAUUUAUACAUCAUAUAAAUUGUUUUUAUGAGUGAAAAAAUAUAAUAUUGUUCUCUGAUAAGAUGGCCGUCCAUGGGCAGCAAAACGACUUCUUACAAAGAUUAAAAUAUGUAGAAGUGGACGAUUGUGGGGAUGUUCGCGCUCCGUUUCCAGCAAAAUUGCUGCGAGCUUUGAAAAAUCUAAAGGGGGUGACUGUUGAUCGCUGUAAAUCAUUGGAAGAGGUAUUUGAAUUAGGUGAGGCUGAUGAAGGAAGCAGUGAGGAGAAGGAGCUGCCGCUUCUGUCAUCUUUAACAGAGUUACGGCUGUCAUGUUUACCUGAGCUCAAAUGUAUAUGGAAGGGGCCCACCAGACAUGUCAGCCUCCAAAGUCUUAAUAUUCUGAGUUUGGAUUCUCUCGACAAACUGCCAUUUAUCUUCACACCGUCCCUCGCUCAAAGUCUGCCACAGCUAGGAGGCCUCUACAUAAAGAAUUGCGCUGAAUUGCAACAUAUUAUCAGAGAAGAGGCUGGUGAAAGGGAAAUAAUUCCAGAGUCUCCUUGCUUCCCAAAAUUAAAAACUAUCAGCAUAGAGAAGUGUGGUAAACUGGAAUAUAUCCUCCCUGUCUCUGUGUCUCCAAGCCUUCUGAACCUGGAAGAGAUGCGGAUUUUUAAAGCUCAUAAUUUAAAGCAAAUAUUUUACAGUGUAGAAGGAGAUACACUCACCAGAGAUGGCAUCAUCAAGUUCCCUAAGCUAAGAGAAUUGAAUAUUUCAAAUUGCAGCUUCUUUGGUCCGAAGAAUUUUGCUGCCUAAUUGCCUUCUUUGCAAUAUCUACAAAUCAAUGGCCACAAAGAAUUGGGAAAUUUGUUUGCACAGCUCCAAGUACGUCCUUUAUAUUUCUCCAAUAUUUUUUUUCCUUUUUAAUUUAAAUUGUCAACUUCAAUACAUGUUGAUUUCUUCCUUUAAAUUUCUGAAACUGAAGUAAUUGAUAAGUGGAGAUAAAUCCAUUAGCCAUCCACUAAAUUUAAAAGGAGCUUUCUAACUGUAUCAUUCCUUGUCUCUUGAUGCAGGGCUUAAGAAGUAAGAAAUUAAUUAUUGUAAUGAAAUCCUACCUAGAUUUUUCAAUCUUUAUGCUUUCCCAGUUUGAGUGAAAUUGAGGCUCUUCCCCCAAUUAAUGGAAGUAUUUGAAGAGGAAGAUAAACCUCCAUCUGCUAAUAUUGAGUUGAUUGUUUCAGUCCUGCAGCUUAUGAUUUCAUAUUCCCAUGCCUACUUCUAUCCUUUUGUUGAUAAGUUUUUUUGCUGAAGUUUAUAUGGACAAUUCGUUCAUCUAUUUACCAAAAUUAUAUAGUUCAAAAGUGCACAAAAUUUCUUUUGAAGCAGGGGU